GCUCCUGAGAGGGAGACAACCUGAGCCUCAGCUUCAAACUCCCUGAGCAGUCGUCCAGGCGUGGAGGUUCGAGUCCUCCCGGGAGCA
Molecule: transfer RNA, 87 nt
Filed under: Kofleriaceae bacterium
Lineage: Bacteria; Pseudomonadati; Myxococcota; Haliangiales; Kofleriaceae
Description: tRNA-OTHER
Source: RNAcentral